Gavialis gangeticus (Gharial) is the source of this 208-nucleotide long non-coding RNA. RefSeq lists it as uncharacterized. The record is from RefSeq and is a predicted model, not a curated record. Lineage: Eukaryota; Metazoa; Chordata; Crocodylia; Gavialidae. The transcript is spliced from 3 exons.
AUUGCUGUGUUCUAGGGCUGAGGAAGUUUGCAUCUGGUGAUGAGGUUGACAAGGGUCAGUGCUUGUUUAAAGGCUAGGAUGGGUGUUUCCUGGAAGACCUCUUUAAGACUUGGGUCUUCUUUUAGUAUAGGAUGCUGUCCCUAGGGGGAGUGAAUCAGGGUAACUGCCCCAGGCCCCAUGCUUUGGCAGCCCCCACAGAGCUUGGCUG